GACAGAGGGUGCAAACGUUGUUCGGAAUUACUGGGCGUAAAGCGUGUGUAGGCGGUGAGGUAAGUCGGAUGUGAAAGCCCAGGGCUCAACCCUGGAAGUGCACUCGAUACUGCUUCGCUUGAGUACUGGAGAGGUUGGUGGAAUUCUCGGUGUAGAGGUGAAAUUCGUAGAUAUCGAGAGGAACAUCUGUGGCGAAGGCGGCUCUCUGGGACGGUACUGACGCUGAGACGCGAAAGCGUGGGGAGCGAACGGG
This 253-nucleotide ribosomal RNA is filed under the name uncultured bacterium. RNAcentral's name for it is "partial 16S ribosomal RNA". It matches the Rfam family "Bacterial small subunit ribosomal RNA", at positions 524 to 776 of the family's 1533-position model. The record is from RNAcentral.